GGGGCCCGCACAAGCAGCGGAGCAUGUGGUUUAAUUCGAAGCAACGCGAAGAACCUUACCAAGACUUGACAUCCAAUUAAAGCUAUGGAAACAUAGUGUGACUUCGGUCGAAUUGAGACAGGUGGUGCAUGGUUGUCGUCAGCUCGUGUCGUGAGAUGUUGGGUUAAGUCCCGCAACGAGCGCAACCCCUGUUAUCGGUUACCAGCGGGUAAAGCCGGGAACUCCGAUGAGACUGCCGGGGAUAACUCGGAGGAAGGUGGGGACGACGUCAAAUCAUCAUGCCCCUUACGUCUUGGGCUACACACGUGCUACAAUGGCUGUUACAAAGGGAAGCGACAUGGUAACAUGAAGCCAAUCUCAUAAAAGCAGUCUCAGUUCAGAUUGUGGGCUGCAACCCGCCCACAUGAAGUCGGAGUUGCUAGUAAUCGCGAAUCAGAAUGUCGCGGUGAAUACGUUCCCGGGCCUUGUACACACCGCCCGUCACACCAUGGGAGUUGGGAGAGCCCGAAGCCUGUAUCCUAACCUUUGAGGGGGGAGCAGUCGAAGGUUAGACCAAUGACUGGGGUG
RNAcentral lists this ribosomal RNA (567 nucleotides) under uncultured bacterium. RNAcentral describes it as "bacterial SSU rRNA". It matches the Rfam family "Bacterial small subunit ribosomal RNA", at positions 916 to 1482 of the family's 1533-position model. The record is from RNAcentral.